GCGCUGGUGGCAAAGUGGUUAAGUGCUAUGGCUGCUAACCCAAAGGUCAGCAGUUCAAAUCUGCCAGGCGCU
RNAcentral lists this transfer RNA (72 nucleotides) under Loxodonta africana (African savanna elephant). It matches the Rfam family "tRNA". From Rfam's summary of the family: Transfer RNA (tRNA) molecules are approximately 80 nucleotides in length. Lineage: Eukaryota; Metazoa; Chordata; Mammalia; Proboscidea; Elephantidae. The record is from Rfam by way of RNAcentral.